CGAGAAGGGAGAGUGAAAGAAGAGGAUAGAGAUUUUCUUUCUACUUCAAAAUACAUCUUUCCAGUCACUUUGGGCUGCCUCUGUGAAAAGUUUGUGGAAACAUCUAGGUCCCCUGGUUCGUGAUGCAGAGUCCUUCAUUCAGUUUCCAGUGCAACCCUUUCUGAUGAAUUCACCCCCGAGUCACUUUUACUAUCAUGGGAUCCUUACUAUCAUGGGAUCCACCAUAUUAAAAUGGCGCUUAGGAGCUGGGUGAGGCAGUGAGGAGGACGACAAUGGAAAGACUGAGCAGCAAGAAGAGAGGAGGGUGAGGCGGUAACCCACAUGGCUGAGGGGAGAAAGUUAACUGAACUGCCUUGGAAAUAGGCUCCACAUUAUUUUUGGAUCAAGCCUUAGUGUUCUAUCUCGUGUUUGACAGAGCGGAUUAUGUUUUAACUUUUCUUCCUCUACAUGACAAAGUUAUUUUGAGGAAUAAUCAUGAAAUGAAACAAAUAAUUAAUGGCCAGGAAACUUUAAAUAGUGAAUAUUUUCUUUUACUGACCCUUAUAUGGUAAUGUCAGUAAAAAUAAAUAAAUAAAAAUAAAGAUGCC
This 587-nucleotide long non-coding RNA is filed under the name Gorilla gorilla gorilla (western lowland gorilla). RNAcentral's name for it is "lncRNA (ENSGGOG00000044485.1)". Lineage: Eukaryota; Metazoa; Chordata; Mammalia; Primates; Hominidae. The record is from RNAcentral.